RNAcentral lists this ribosomal RNA (492 nucleotides) under uncultured bacterium. Its description in RNAcentral is "partial 16S ribosomal RNA". It matches the Rfam family "Bacterial small subunit ribosomal RNA", at positions 29 to 507 of the family's 1533-position model. The record is from RNAcentral.
AGUGAACGCUGGCGGUAGGCCUAACACAUGCAAGUCGAACGGCAGCACAGUAAGAGCUUGCUCUUACGGGUGGCGAGUGGCGGACGGGUGAGGAAUACAUCGGAAUCUACUUUUUCGUGGGGGAUAACGUAGGGAAACUUACGCUAAUACCGCAUACGACCUACGGGUGAAAGCAGGGGAUCUUCGGACCUUGCGCUAUUGAAUGAGCCGAUGUCGGAUUAGCUAGUUGGCGGGGUAAAGGCCCACCAAGGCGACGAUCCGUAGCUGGUCUGAGAGGAUGAUCAGCCACACUGGAACUGAGACACGGUCCAGACUCCUACGGGAGGCAGCAGUGGGGAAUAUUGGACAAUGGGCGCAAGCCUGAUCCAGCCAUACCGCGUGGGUGAAGAAGGCCUUCGGGUUGUAAAGCCCUUUUGUUGGGAAAGAACAGCAGCAGGUUAAUACCCCGCUGUUCUGACGGUACCCAAAGAAUAAGCACCGGCUAACUUCGUG